This 61-nucleotide microRNA precursor is filed under the name Macaca mulatta (Rhesus monkey). Its description in RNAcentral is "Mml-Mir-3173_pre stem-loop". The record is from RNAcentral. Lineage: Eukaryota; Metazoa; Chordata; Mammalia; Primates; Cercopithecidae.
UGCCCUGCCUGUUUUCUUCUUUGUGGUUUUAUGAAAGCGAAGGAGGAAACAGGCAGGCCAG